Molecule: long non-coding RNA, 367 nt
Filed under: Homo sapiens (human)
Lineage: Eukaryota; Metazoa; Chordata; Mammalia; Primates; Hominidae
Description: non-protein coding lnc-IL12RB1-2:1
Source: RNAcentral
CCAGUCCAUGGAGAGGCCCUGCCAGCCCGUUCAUGGCUGCUGCAAAGGACAGGUAUGAGGUCAGCCAAUAUGUCUUUCAAAUUCAUGGAGGAAGCACUGGCAUGCUGGGCUGCAAGAACAAGACAAGAUGCAUUCUUGGUUCCCAAGAGCCGGGCGGCCGCAAUUCCAAACCAGCUAACGCAGAGGGCCGACUGUAUGUAGCGAAAUUCUGUCAACAAUUAAAAUCCUCUGCCAGCCGGGCACAGUGGCUGACGCCUGUAAUCCCAGCACUUUGGGGAGGCCAAGAUGGGAGGAUCAUUUGAGCCCAGGAGUUCAAGACCAGCCUGGGCAACACAGUGAGACCACAUUUCUACAAAAAAUACAAAAA